UGGGAAACUACGGCUAAUACCGCAUGAUGCCUGAGGCCAAAGCGAAAGUCGUUGAGGAGAGCCUGCGUCUGAUUAGGUAGUUGGUGGGUAAAGGCCUACCAAGCCUACGAUCAGUAGCNGGUCUGAGAGGAUGAUCAGCCACAUUGGGACUGAGACACGGCCCAAAUCCUACGGGAGGCAGCAGUGGGGAAUAUUGGACAAUGGGCGCAAGCCUGAUCCAGCAAUGCCGCGUGGGUGAAGAAGGUCUUCGGAUUGUAAAGCCCUUUUGGCGGGGACGAUGAUGACGGUACCCGCAGAAUAAGCUCCGGCUAACUUCGUG
Molecule: ribosomal RNA, 319 nt
Filed under: uncultured bacterium
Lineage: Bacteria
Description: bacterial SSU rRNA
Rfam family: Bacterial small subunit ribosomal RNA
Source: RNAcentral